GACGAACGCUGGCGGCGUGCUUAACACAUGCAAGUCGAACGAUGAAGCGGGUGCUUGCCCUCGUGGAUUAGUGGCGAACGGGCGAGUAACACGUGAGUAACCUGUCCUUUUCUUUGGGAUAACGGCUGGAAACGGCUGCUAAUACUGGAUAUUCAGGCUGCAUCGCAUGGUGUGGUUUGGAAAGGUUUUUUCUGGGCUUGGGUGGGCUCGCGGCCUAUCGGCUUGUUGGUGGGGUGAUGGCUUACCAAGGCUUUGACGGGUAGCCGGCCUGAGAGGGUGGUCGGUCGCACUGGGACUGAGAUACGGCCCAGACUCCUACGGGAGGCAGAAGUGGGGAAUAUUGCACAAUGGACGAAAGUUUGAUGCAGCGACGCCGCGUGGAGGGUGUAGGCCUUCGGGUUGUGAACUCCUUUUUCUCGCGAAAAAGGCACAGUUUUGGCUGUGUUGAUGGUAGUGGGGGAAGAAGCGCCGGCUAACUACGUG
Molecule: ribosomal RNA, 483 nt
Filed under: uncultured bacterium
Lineage: Bacteria
Description: partial 16S ribosomal RNA
Rfam family: Bacterial small subunit ribosomal RNA
Source: RNAcentral